GGGAACGUGGCUCAGUGGUAGAGUACUUGCCUCUCAUGCAUGAGACCCUGGGUUCAAUUCCUCAGCACCA
RNAcentral lists this transfer RNA (70 nucleotides) under Dipodomys ordii (Ord's kangaroo rat). It matches the Rfam family "tRNA". From Rfam's summary of the family: Transfer RNA (tRNA) molecules are approximately 80 nucleotides in length. Lineage: Eukaryota; Metazoa; Chordata; Mammalia; Rodentia; Heteromyidae. The record is from Rfam by way of RNAcentral.